Oryzias latipes (Japanese medaka) is the source of this 3423-nucleotide non-coding RNA. The record is from RefSeq and is a predicted model, not a curated record. Lineage: Eukaryota; Metazoa; Chordata; Actinopteri; Beloniformes; Adrianichthyidae.
UCUCUAUCACUCUCUCGCAGAUGCUCCAUCACACCACACAGCCUCCCUCUCUUUCUCUCUUUUAUCCAUCUGCUUUCAGUUGUACCGCUUGCUCUGCCGGCUUGCCACCAGCUGUCAGUUCUUCUGUGGCUGCAGAGCAACAACUGGCUUCGGUCUGUGCCGGGUGAGGCGGGAGGAAGGUGAGUGCGGCACAAAGAGCGGGAGACGAGGGAGAGCGGAGGACUGAAACGGGAAGAGGAGGAAAUCUUUUGUUCAGCAUCCUCUCUGCAGCAUCAGUACCAGCUCCGACUUCCCUGCUGGAUCGUCCAUCUCCCGCCUGGAUCUGCCUCCUCCUUCUCCUCUGGGAGCUCUUCCUGGAAGCGGGAGGGGGAGGGAGAUCAGCACCUCCCAGUUUGCUACGGACUGUCAGCGGGGCAUCUUCAGAGGAGGAGCGGGGAUGAAAGGAGGGGAUUUUAGAGCAGAGGGAAGGCACCACCCUGGCUUACAGGAGAGCUGAGAGGAUGGAAAGAGGGUAAGAAGCUGCUGUGGCAGCUGGGGGUCCUACCCCCCCUCUCCACUCCUUGGCCACUUCUGACAGACUGAGACUUUGAUUCUUUUUUCCACCCAAGUCUUCCUGUUUUUUCUCCAUUUCACUGCAGCCGUUUUUUCCUCCAUGGGACACCUUAGUGGCAGAAAAGCUGAAGAUCGUUACGUGUUUGCGGCUUCUACAUGCCCCCCCCCUGUCUUGUGUGUUUGUGGAAGUUUGAAAACAGAAAAAGUGCUGUUGGUCUUACCUUUGCCCCCACCCUCAGAGGGAUGUGAUGCAUCUCAGGGUGUGGGACCCCAGCUUCCCCGGUCUCCGCAGACGGCCUGGGUUGGGUGUGUGGGAGUGGAUCUCACGAUGCCAGGCAGGGCCCAGCGGAUCACCGGGGAAGCUGCCGCCUCCGCCUGCGCCAGCGGGCCCAGGUAAGGCUCUGGCAGUCGGGCCGCGGGUCACCCACACCUCCACCGCCCGUCACCUGCGAACGUUGUGUCGUAGAGACGAGAGAGAGUGAGCCGAGCUUCACACACCCUUCUUUUUGCUAUUUUUCUGUUUCUCCUUUGACACGCGCUGCUGGCUGGGAUUGAAAAUGCCUCCAAUUUUCUCCUGUGCAGAGGAGCCAUUGAUGGAGCCUUGCCUCACACUGCUGCAAGCUGUCUUCAAUCAAUGCGACUGCCCCACUCUCUCUGUAUGUGUCUGUGUGUGUUUGCCUCUGGAGCAUGGAGGGGGGCUGCUGAUGGCGGAGGCGAUGGCCAUGGUGGGGAUGAUGAGGCCGUGGCGAUGGCGCCACUCUCGUGGUUUCUGGCUUAGCUCGCCGUGUUUACGGAAAGACUCUCUUCGGUGACGGGUAUUCUUGGGUGGAUAAUACGGAUCACGUUGUUAUUGCUUAAGAAUACGCGUAGUUGAGGAGAGUCCUCUCUUCGCCAAAUUCCGGCAACACCCUGACCCCCCCAACACCCACCCACCCACUUCACCUCAACGAGCCACCCUCAUGGGCUGUGAGGUUGGGUGAAGCUGCGGCCCCAUGCUCCACCUUUCUGAGACAAAAUGAGACUCAAACGCAUUCAUUUGCUUGUGUUGUCCCCGCCCACUUCCUGUCAGGCCGAGAGUGUCCUCUCGUCUGUCCCACCAUUCAUCUGUCAGUCUGUUUGUGUCUCCAUGGCGACGGAUGCGUGUUUCUGUGGCUAGAGCUGUUCUGCAGAGAGACGGGGAUUCUUUUGGUCAGAGCUAAGGCCGACGGCAGAGCCAAGAAUGCGGCACGCUGCAUGGUCAGCAUGGCGGCCUGCGCACGCUCCAUCCCCCCCGCCCGUGCAGAGCCACCAAUCAUGACUGACUCCACGCAGAUCCAGUCAGGAGCUGACGUCAGUGGAAAUCGCUGCGGCGGCGGUUAAAUCAGACAUGUCAGAUUGGGAUCCACAGAGUGGAGUGAUGGACCAUGUCAGUGGUUCCUGUUUUCAAAGACAUGUGGGUCUGUAGACAAACAUUUCAUCCCUUUUUGGUGGACAAACCUUCAGUUUUUCCUGGAGUUCACCAGUUUGUGGUGAACCAGGCUGAGUUUGGUGCCUUUUGAUGACUGUCAUCUGCCCAUCCUGAAAGUGUUUCUUCUUGUGCAUAAACAGAAACUUUAGAAACAACAUAACGUCUGGUUGGUUUGGCUGUAAGCCUGACUGAGCUAUCCUUUACUUUAAAGCAGUUUUCACAGCUUUGCCAUCAAACAAAUAUUCCAAAAAGAGCAGCCAGCGUCAUGCAUUAAAUGCUCAUCGCGUACCCAGCAUUCAAAAAGGAAAUGUCCAACAUCAGCGCGUGCACUGAGAGGAGGCGUCUCCGUAAACAAUCAUCAGAGCUCUAUGGUCUACGAGCAGCUUUUCUGUGUUACUGAGGCGAUGCAGCAUGAAUAUGCAUCCCCUCUCCAUGUCUGAUGGCACAUUCCCAACCCUAACACCCGUGUAAAAUCCAUUUAAACACAUAAUAGGAUCAACACGACUGUCUUCACACAUGCCACCCCCCAUGAUCCCGUUCUGGAGAUCUCCAUCCCCUCAGGCUUCAUCUGUGUACGCUGCAGCACAGGGGAGGGGGGGGGUUACUCUGUUGAAUAAUCUCGGCUGGGAGGUGAUGGUAAAGUUAGCUGCCGCGUUGCUCUGACACGCUUACUCUCCUAAUUGUACAAUCAUCCCAGUCAUUUCCAUUCCAGGUUCUCCAAACAAUGCAAUCAUGUGUUUGACUUGGCUGCUAAUGACUCUGCUGUUCGUCUCCACAUGGAGGCAAAGCCUGGGCGGAAGGAGGAAGACUCGGAUUUAAAAGAGGAAGAGCGAAGCAUGCAGAGUUGGUUGACUGCAGCAGGUGUUGUGUUGUGCUGAUCUGUGUCUUGUGUGUCUGUGGCUUUGUUGCUGUUGGGGCGACUGACGUCCCUUUUGCCGCGUGAACCAGCCUCUGUCCAUCAUGUGACCACUUUCCAUCUCACGUCCACUAGCCCUGAUUUCAAUAGCAGCUAGCAACAAGUGAAGCGGCCUUCAGGAAACGCUUCUGCUGGAAAACAUCUCAGACUCUGAGUUGGUGCUUCCAGCUUCUCAGAGCGAAAGCAUGUGACAUGAAGUGUAAUGUCGCUGUGCCAGCCGGUUUCUGGACCGUCUGCUUGCUAACUGUUUGUAAAGUCUGCUGUGCUGCAAAACACUGGAAAUGCAAUGGGAAGUUGCUGCUGAGGUCCUGAUGGUGGCGCUGCUGAUCCUGCUGGUUCAGAGCAGUUUGGGGUUGAAGAUGACUAUGGAGCUGAUCAGGAUGAAGGAUGAACCGCUGCACCAUGUGGACUUUCCUGUGCCUUUUCCUUUUUCUAACAUGUACAUCCAAUGAAUUUCUCCUGAAAGUCAAAUAAAGCUUUGAUCAGUUUGCAUUUUAUGAUGACAUUU